RNAcentral lists this ribosomal RNA (274 nucleotides) under uncultured bacterium. RNAcentral's name for it is "partial 16S ribosomal RNA". It matches the Rfam family "Bacterial small subunit ribosomal RNA", at positions 523 to 796 of the family's 1533-position model. The record is from RNAcentral.
AUACGAAGGGGGCUAGCGUUGUUCGGAAUUACUGGGCGUAAAGCGCGCGUAGGCGGAUUGGUCAGUUAGGGGUGAAAUCCCAGGGCUUAACCCUGGAACUGCCUCUAAUACUGCCAGUCUUGAGUUCGGGAGAGGUGAGUGGAAUUCCUAGUGUAGAGGUGAAAUUCGUAGAUAUUAGGAAGAACACCAGUGGCGAAGGCGGUUCACUGGCCCGAUACUGACGCUGAGGCGCGAAAGCGUGGGGAGCAAACAGGAUUAGAAACCCCAGUAGUCC